Molecule: ribosomal RNA, 460 nt
Filed under: uncultured bacterium
Lineage: Bacteria
Description: partial 16S ribosomal RNA
Rfam family: Bacterial small subunit ribosomal RNA
Source: RNAcentral
CCUACGGGAGGCUGCAGUGAGGAAUAUUGGUCAAUGGGCGCGAGUCUGAACCAGCCAAGUCGCGUGAAGGAUGACUGCCCUACGGGUUGUAAACUUCUUUUAUAAAGGAAUAAAGUGAGGCACGUGUGCCUGUUUGUAUGUACCUUACGAAUAAGGAUCGGCUAACUCCGUGCCAGCAGCCGCGGUAAUACGGAGGAUCCGAGCGUUAUCCGGAUUUAUUGGGUUUAAAGGGAGCGUAGGUGGGUUGUUAAGUCAGUUGUGAAAGUUUGCGGCUCAACCGUAAAAUUGCAUUUGAUACUGGCAGUCUUGAGUACAGUUGAGGUAGGCGGAAUGCGUGGUGUAGCGGUGAAAUGCUUAGAUAUCACGAAGAACUCCGAUUGCGAAGGCAGCUUACUAAACUGCCACUGACGUUGAUGCUCGAAAGUGUGGGUAGCAAACAGGAUUAGAUACCCUGGUAGUC